RNAcentral lists this ribosomal RNA (447 nucleotides) under uncultured bacterium. Its description in RNAcentral is "partial 16S ribosomal RNA". It matches the Rfam family "Bacterial small subunit ribosomal RNA", at positions 29 to 523 of the family's 1533-position model. The record is from RNAcentral.
AACGAACGCUGGCGGCAGGCUUAACACAUGCAAGUCGAGCGCCUCGCAAGAGGAGCGGCAGACGGGUGAGUAACACGUGGGAACAUACCCUUUACUACGGAAUAACGCAGGGAAACUUGUGCUAAUACCGUAUGUGCCCUUCGGGGGAAAGAUUUAUCGGUAAAGGAUUGGCCCGCGUUGGAUUAGCUAGUUGGUGGGGUAAAGGCCUACCAAGGCGACGAUCCAUAGCUGGUCUGAGAGGAUGAUCAGCCACAUUGGGACUGAGACACGGCCCAAACUCCUACGGGAGGCAGCAGUGGGGAAUAUUGGACAAUGGGCGCAAGCCUGAUCCAGCCAUGCCGCGUGAGUGAUGAAGGCCUUAGGGUUGUAAAGCUCUUUCACCGAUGAAGAUAAUGACGGUAGUCGGAGAAGAAGCCCCGGCUAACUUCGUGCCAGCCGCCGCCGUAA